Molecule: ribosomal RNA, 486 nt
Filed under: uncultured bacterium
Lineage: Bacteria
Description: bacterial SSU rRNA
Rfam family: Bacterial small subunit ribosomal RNA
Source: RNAcentral
CGCAAUGGGGGCAACCCUGACGCAGCGACGCCGCGUGAGUGAGGAAGGCCUUCGGGUCGUAAAACUCUGUCAGAAGGGAAGAAGUGUUAGACGGUUAAUACCCGUGUAAUUUGACGGUACCUUCAAAGGAAGCACCGGCUAACUCCGUGCCAGCAGCCGCGGUAAUACGGAGGGUGCGAGCGUUGUUCGGAAUCACUGGGCGUAAAGGGCGCGCAGGCGGCGUGUUAAGUCAGAUGUGAAAUCCCACGGCUCAACCGUGGAAGUGCAUUUGAAACUGGCAUGCUUGAGUAUCAGAGGGGAAAGUGGAAUUCCCGGUGUAGAGGUGAAAUUUGUAGAUAUCGGGAGGAAUACCGGUGGCGAAGGCGACUUUCUGGCUGAAUACUGACGCUGAGGCGCGAAAGCGUGGGGAGCAAACAGGAUUAGAUACCCUGGUAGUCCACGCCGUAAACGAUGUGAACUAGAUGUUGAGGUGUUGAUCCCUUCGGU